GACGAACGCUGGCGGCGUGCCUAAUACAUGCAAGUAGAACGCUGAAGGAGGAGCUUGCUUCUCUGGAUGAGUUGCGAACGGGUGAGUAACGCGUAGGUAACCUGCCUGGUAGCGGGGGAUAACUAUUGGAAACGAUAGCUAAUACCGCAUAAGAGUAGAUGUUGCAUGACAUUUGCUUAAAAGGUGCAAUUGCAUCACUACCAGAUGGACCUGCGUUGUAUUAGCUAGUUGGUGGGGUAACGGCUUACCAAGGCGACGAUACAUAGCCGACCUGAGAGGGUGAUCGGCCACACUGGGACUGAGACACGGCCCAGACUCCUACGGGAGGCAGCAGUAGGGAAUCUUCGGCAAUAGACGGAAGUCUGACCGAGCAACGCCGCGGGAGUGAAGAAGGUUUUCGGAUCGUAAAGCUCUGUUGUAAGAGAAGAACGAGUGUGAGAGUGGAAAGUUCACACUGUGACGGUAUCUUACCAGAAAGGGACGGCUAACUACGUG
RNAcentral lists this ribosomal RNA (495 nucleotides) under uncultured bacterium. Its description in RNAcentral is "partial 16S ribosomal RNA". It matches the Rfam family "Bacterial small subunit ribosomal RNA", at positions 28 to 507 of the family's 1533-position model. The record is from RNAcentral.